Transfer RNA from Capsaspora owczarzaki ATCC 30864, 73 nucleotides. It matches the Rfam family "tRNA". From Rfam's summary of the family: Transfer RNA (tRNA) molecules are approximately 80 nucleotides in length. NCBI's taxonomy places the organism in Eukaryota, Filasterea, Ministeriida, Capsasporidae. The record is from Rfam.
GCCCGAUUAGCUCAGUCGGUAGAGCGUGAGACUCUUAAUCUCAGUGUCACGGGUUCGAGCCCCGUAUCGGGCU